UUUUGGACGCAUUGCGGUCAUUUUGAACCAUGUUUUGUAUCAUCCAUUCUAUAAAUCCUACUUUCAGCUUUUUUACCGGGCAAGGGUCGGGUCCUUCUUUAUUUGAGGAAGUGGAGCUGGGAAGGAAGAUUGCGACUGUUGGCUUAUCAACAGCCCUGUCCUGCAGUUCAUGAAUAUUUGACCAAACUUGAUGUGUGCGUGCGUGUGUGUGUGAGAGUGUGUUGAGGUUAGUUACCUUCGCAACCGGUUGAAAACCAUAUUGGCGAGCAUAACUCAGCAACAUAACAAUUAUUCAGCUUUAUUCCAUUUUGCUACGUGUAGAGUGUGUACCAUAGUUCACAACCUAAUAUCAGUCUAUUUAGAUCUGAUAUUAGGUUGUGAACCAUGGUACACAAAGACAAUUGUGACUGAGAUGGGAAGCCAUUGCAAUACCUUUACUUUAGAAACUACAGUUAGAUAUAAGGACAGACUUAAAAGAAGUAAAAUUAGUAUCAAUAUAUUAAAACACAGUAUACGUGUCACGUACAAUGUAUAAUGUGUCUAGAUAGUUUGUGUUCCCCCAUUUAGCUUCCAAUGUUUUUUUUUUCAAACUCAUUAUAAUAUGAAACAACAAAUUAAUAACUAACCCCUAAAUAUAUGAGCUGACAGAGACGACAGGGUCAAAUUACUUUAGAAAGUUACAUUGUUUACAUUUUUCAGCCGAACAGCAUAUAUAUUAGAAGUUUACUGAUUAGCUUAGAGCGCAUUGUCUUCUUUGUCGUGAUUGGACGGCUGAAAGUUGUUUACAAAUCAAGUAGGUUAAUCCGAUUGUCGUUGAAAUAUCUGAAAUAAAAAACGGAUUGACCUGCAUGACAUCGGGCCUGAAAUAUUAUUGAAUAACGCAAAAGUCAUGCUAGCAUUCAUUAUGCUAUUUACGUGUCAUGUGUUGAUUCCGGAUAUUCUGUAUAUUUGGAAAUAUUUCUUUUUAUUAAACAUACUAUGUGAUAAUGUCACUGUUGCCUUACCUGUGUCAGUUGUUUAGAAUCAUUAUAGUAAACUGGAGAAAUGUUCUGGAUAAAAAAUAUGGAAUAAAUACCACUCCAAUCUUGCGGAAAAAAGAUAAAAUGUGUCAAAAUCAAAUAAUUUGAAAUAGAGAUUACAACUAUAUAUGGAUGUUUCAGAUGUGCUUAUACCUAGUGCCUUGAAUGGUCAAAUAAACAAAAUUAAAACAGAAAGGGUGAAACGGUUGCAAUUUUAUGGAAAAUCUAAAUAGCAAGAAAAUAUUUUUUUCUGCUAAUGUGGAAAGAACAAAGAAACAUAUAAACAACUGAAAAGAGCUAUAACACAGAAGGCUAAAUGACAGAUAAGAAAUUAAUAGACUGUGUAACUUGUAUGGCAAAAUAGCAAUAUUUACCAAACACAUAUGACAGAAAAGGCUACAUUAAACAUUUGGAAUUUUGACAAUGUAAACAAUUUAAAGUAGAGAUAACAACUAUAUAUGAGUAUCCUGGGGUAUUUUCUUUUAGUUGGAAUUUUAGUUAAUAUUUCGAAAGGUCAAAAAAGCAACAAAAAUAAACAAUAUCUUAAAAAAUGUAAGACAGAUUUUAUGAAAAUUGCAAUUCAUAGGAAAAUAAGAUAUUGUUCGCAUAAGUGAAAGUGAUAAUGUUUUUGAGAAAAAUUUGUAUUUUAGAGAAGCAUUCUUUAGAUAGAAUACGAAUUUGACAUUUUCAUGGAAAAUACCAAAAUCAUGUAUGUAAGAAAAUGAUAAUGAACUAGGUAUUUUGGCAAUAAGUCAGCAAUAUAAAACAGAGAAUGCAUAUAUAUAGUAAUGUUCUAUGAUACUUUCUUUUAUAGGGGUAUAUAGUUAUUGAUUUGAAUGGUCAAACACACAAAAAAUAUGAAAAUGUCAAACUGCCAAGAUUGUAUGCAAACUUUACAGGAAAAUGAGCUUGGUUUUAUUGUUCAAUGGUAGAAGUUUACAAUUGUAAAAAGUCCAAUAUGAUUUCCCGGAUGCUCUUUUGAAUGGUGGAGGGUCAAUAUAUGUGUUUUUUAUGGAAAUGAAAAAGAAAAGAACCUUUUCAUUCUUCACAUUUUCUUCAAUUUUUUCAAUCAAAUUUCCUCAUAACAUUCCUUAACAAUAAGUGUUUCUGUUGAUAUUAUGUUUAUUAGAUUAUGUGAUCUUUUGCAAAAUUUUCCGACACGAAAAUCGGUAAAUUUGUAGUUCUAAAAAUCUUUUCAUUUUUUCACAUUUUUUAUAUUAUGUUUUUUUUGUUUUUGUUUUUUUUUUUGCAUUCAAUCAUUUCGUUAUUAUUCUACUUGUUCAUAUAAAGAAUCUUUUUGUAAAUCAUUAUUAUAUACUUGUAAUCUCUCAUAUAAAGUUCCUAUAUUUGACAAAAUCUUUUAAACAAUCAUAAUACAAUGUAGUGCAUUUCUUAUCUAAAAGUUGCAUCUUUUCAAAGAAAUCUUUGCAAUCUAUUCCUUAUUUGUGUGUCUUACAUAUGCCAGCUUAUUAUUUGCGCUCUUAUAUGUACAAAUACUGAUUCUUCUUCAAAAACGUGCAUGCAUCUAGCCUUUCCUCUAACAUUUUGUAUUGUUAUUAGAUGGUUGUCACAUGUUUGGAGAGUAUACUAAUUUUCAGAUGAAUAAAAAGAUAAUUAAAAUAGAAAACAUAUAAUAGAUUUAUAAAACAGA
This is a long non-coding RNA of Mercenaria mercenaria, 2670 nucleotides long. RefSeq lists it as uncharacterized. The record is from RefSeq and is a predicted model, not a curated record. The transcript is spliced from 2 exons. Lineage: Eukaryota; Metazoa; Mollusca; Bivalvia; Venerida; Veneridae.